AGAGUUUGAUCCUGGCUCAGAACGAACGCUGGCGGCGUGCCUAACACAUGCAAGUCGAACGAGAAACUCCGGGCUUGCUCGGAGAAGUACAGUGGCGCACGGGUGAGUAACGCGUGGGUAACCUACCCUUGAAUUUGGGAUAACCCCGCGAAAGCGGGACUAAUACCGGAUACGGUUCUUUAAGCCUCGGCUUUUGGAAUUAAAGGUGACCUCUUCAUGAAAGUUGCCGUUCAGGGACGGGCUCGCGUACCAUUAGCUUGUUGGUAGGGUAAUGGCCUACCAAGGCUACGAUGGUUAGCUGGUCUGAGAGGAUGAUCAGCCACACUGGAACUGGAACACGGUCCAGACUCCUACGGGAGGCAGCAGUGAGGAAUUUUGCGCAAUGGGGGAAACCCUGACGCAGCAACGCCGCGUGAGCGAAGAAGGCCCUCGGGUCGUAAAGCUCUGUCAAGUGGGAAAAAAGCCUUUCGGUUAAUACCCGGGAGGUCUGAUGGUACCACUGGAGGAAGCACCGGCUAACUCCGUGCCAGCAGCCGCGGUAAUACGGAGGGUGCAAGCGUUGUUCGGAUUUACUGGGCGUAAAGGGCGUGCAGGCGGUUUGGUAAGUCAGAUGUGAAAGCCCUGGGCUUAACCCGGGAAGUGCAUUUGAAACUGCCUUUCUUGAGUAUGGGAGAGGAGAGUGGAAUUCCCAGUGUAGAGGUGAAAUUCGUAGAUAUUGGGAGGAACACCCGUGGCGAAGGCGACUCUCUGGACCAAUACUGACGCUGAGACGCGAAAGCGUGGGGAGCAAACAGGAUUAGAUACCCUGGUAGUCCACGCUGUAAACGAUGAGA
RNAcentral lists this ribosomal RNA (833 nucleotides) under uncultured sediment bacterium. RNAcentral describes it as "bacterial SSU rRNA". It matches the Rfam family "Bacterial small subunit ribosomal RNA", at positions 8 to 814 of the family's 1533-position model. The record is from RNAcentral.